AGAGUUUGAUCAUGGCUCAGAAUGAACGCUGGCGGCGUGCUUAACACAUGCAAGUCGAACGAGAAAGGGAUUGCUUGCAAUCCUGAGUAGAGUGGCGCACGGGUGAGUAACACGUAGAUAAUCUACCUUCAAGCCCGGGAUAACUAUUCGAAAGGAUAGCUAAUACCGGAUAAAGUUAUCUGGCAUAAGUCAGAUUAUGAAAGAUUGCCUCUUCUUGAAAGCAAUUGUUUGGAGAUGAGUCUGCGGACCAUUAGUUUGUUGGUGGGGUAAAGGCCUACCAAGACUGCGAUGGUUAGCUGGUCUGAGAGGAUGAUCAGUCACACUGGAACUGGAACACGGUCCAGACUCCUACGGGAGGCAGCAGUGAGGAAUUUUGCGCAAUGGGGGCAACCCUGACGCAGCAACGCCGCGUGAGUGAAGAAGGCCUUUGGGUCGUAAAGCUCUGUCGACAGGGAAGAAAUUGUUACAUAUUAAUAGUAUGUUUCAUUGACGGUACCUGUAGAGGAAGCACCGGCUAACUCCGUGCCAGCAGCCGCAGUAAUACGGGGGGUGCAAGCGUUAUUCGGAAUUAUUGGGCGUAAAGGGCGCGUAGGCGGUCUUGUCGGUCAGAUGUGAAAGCCCGGGGCUCAACCCUGGAAGUGCAUUUGAAACAGCAAGACUUGAGUACGGGAGAGGAGAGCGGAAUUCCUGGUGUAGAGGUGAAAUUCGUAGAUAUCAGGAGGAACACCGAUGGCGAAGGCAGCUCUCUGGACCGAUACUGACGCUGAGGCGCGAAGGCGUGGGUAGCGAACAGGAUUAGAUACCCUGGUAGUCCACGCAGUAAACGUUGUUCACUCGGUGUAGCGGGUAUUAAAAUCUGCUGUGCCCUAGCUAACGCAGUAAGUGAACCGCCUGGGGAGUACGGUCGCAAGACUAAAACUCAAAUGAAUUGACGG
This 935-nucleotide ribosomal RNA is filed under the name uncultured bacterium. RNAcentral's name for it is "bacterial SSU rRNA". It matches the Rfam family "Bacterial small subunit ribosomal RNA", at positions 8 to 916 of the family's 1533-position model. The record is from RNAcentral.